Non-coding RNA from Vicugna pacos (alpaca), 1166 nucleotides. NCBI's taxonomy places the organism in Eukaryota, Metazoa, Chordata, Mammalia, Artiodactyla, Camelidae. The record is from RefSeq and is a predicted model, not a curated record.
CCAGGUGCUGGCAAGGGGACACGGAGAAAGCAGUGAGUCCGAGGAUGAAGUCAGGUGUGCUCAAAAUUCCCUGGAAUCGGCCCUCCAGCCUGCGACUAACCACACCUCCUCUGGGAACCUUCUCUGAUCACCUGCUCCCCCUCUUCCCAGUGUCCUUUGUGUCUUCCUUCUGAAUUACUAGCACCUGGCUCUAGCUAAAGGCUCCUGGAAGGCAGGGGACUGUCUGGAUUUUAUCUAGUCCCUUCUAAGCACCUUUACCUCCAUUAGAGCACCUGGGACCUUUUGCUGAUACCUCUGGACCUUGUCUGACCCCUACCCAUCCAGGAUUGCAUCUGAUUUGUCCCUGUGGUCCAACCCGGCACAAGAACUGGUUCAGGGGAAAAGUUGGCAGAUUCAAGUGGAACUGAGUUCCUCCACUGAAUGCCCACAUCUGAGGCAAGGCAGAAGUUCACUUGGCAGAUGAGCAAAGGUGAGGAGAAAUGGAUGCAGGAGACCAGGGAGACCAGACCCCCAGCCCUGCCCCCCAAGACAGAAAGGUCCAGGCCCCCAGCCCCCUCCCUCCUAAAAUUCAGGAAUCCAGCUCCUCAGUUACCUCCUCCCUUAAACCUAGUUUCUCUCUGCCUGGGGUUUCCUUGCCCCUAAACUCACCAUAGAUGGACUUGGCACUCCGUUUGGGGGAAGCUUCUGGGCUAGUGAAGGAAAAGAGGGGUGAGAGGGGCUGUGGGAAUUGGGGGGCAGAUCAUGGGGGGUUUUGAGUGCCAAGCAGAAUUGCACCACUUCGUUGUGAGGGCAAUGGGAGCCAUGGAGGGUUCUGAGCAGGGGAGGGCAGGGCUAGAGCUGGACUUUAAUAAAAUAAGAAUGGCAGUGGUGCUCGGUGGUGGUGGGGAGUCUGGUCUCUACUGUCACACAGAUCUGGGUUUGAAUUCCCUGUCAGCUACUGCUUUGCCAUAAGAUCUUGGGUAGGAGACCAUCUCUCCUGCCUUAGUUUCCCUUUCUGUAAGACAGGGGUUAGUUACCCUAUAGCCUCCAUCUGGUAGGGCUGUUGAGCAAAUUCAAUGAGAUGAUGCAGCUGAAGUGUUUUGCAGCCUCAAAAACUGUUGCUGUUUUGAUGAUGCAACGGACUUAAUAUGCAGUAGUUACUCAAUAAAAGGGAUUUUUUCACAACA